GACGAACGCUGGCGGCGUGCCUAAUACAUGCAAGUCGAGCGAGCAAAGUUAAAGGAAUACUUCGGUAGGAAUUUAAUAGCGCGAGCGGCGGAUGGGUGAGUAACACGUGGGCAAUCUACCCUUUAGCUUGGGAUACCACUUGGAAACAGGUGCUAAUACCAAAUAAGAAGUAAGAGCGCAUGCUCAAGCUAUGAAAGGCGGCUUUCGAGCUGUCACUAAAGGAUGAGCCCGCGGUGCAUUAGCUAGUUGGUAAGGUAACGGCUUACCAAGGCAAUGAUGCAUAGCCGAGUUGAGAGACUGAUCGGCCACAUUGGGACUGAGACACGGCCCAAACUCCUACGGGAGGCAGCAGUAGGGAAUCUUCCACAAUGGACGCAAGUCUGAUGGAGCAACGCCGCGUGAGUGAAGAAGGUUUUCGGAUCGUAAAGCUCUGUUGUUGGUGAAGAAGGACAUGGAUAGUAACUGAUCUAUGUUUGACGGUAAUCAACCAGAAAGUCACGGCUAACUACGUGC
RNAcentral lists this ribosomal RNA (513 nucleotides) under Lactobacillus sp. 64s. RNAcentral describes it as "bacterial SSU rRNA". It matches the Rfam family "Bacterial small subunit ribosomal RNA", at positions 28 to 508 of the family's 1533-position model. The record is from RNAcentral. Lineage: Bacteria; Bacillati; Bacillota; Bacilli; Lactobacillales; Lactobacillaceae.